RNAcentral lists this small RNA (592 nucleotides) under Pan troglodytes (chimpanzee). RNAcentral's name for it is "retained intron". Lineage: Eukaryota; Metazoa; Chordata; Mammalia; Primates; Hominidae. The record is from RNAcentral.
GUGAGGUUCUUGACAUCACAGCGAGCUGGUUAAACCAAACAAAGGAGGAGAGGGGUGGAAGACAGAAACCACACACAUAUACCUGCAAAUGUGACUUGGUCUGUUUUUUUCCCCCAUUUAAUCAGGGAUUGUUGUCUGAGAUUCUGCGUAAGGAAGAAGACCCUCGGACAGCCUCUCAGUCUCUUCUAGUAAACCUGAGGGCCAUGCAGAAUUUCCUCAAUCUGCCAGAAGUGGAGCGAGAUCGCAUCUACCAGGAUGAGAGGGAGCGGAGCAUGAAUCCCAAUGUGAGCAUGGUCUCCUCGGCCUCCAGCAGUCCCAGCUCCUCCCGAACCCCUCAGGCCAAAACCUCGACACCGACAACAGACCUCCCUAUUAAGGUGGACGGCGCCAACAUCAACAUCACAGCUGCCAUUUAUGACGAGAUCCAACAGGAGAUGAAAAGGGCCAAGGUGUCUCAAGCCCUGUUUGCCAAAGUGGCUGCAAAUAAAAGUCAGGGCUGGCUGUGUGAACUGCUCCGCUGGAAGGAGAACCCAAGCCCAGAAAACCGCACCCUCUGGGAAAACCUCUGUACCAUCCGUCGGUUCCUGAACCU